Molecule: non-coding RNA, 72 nt
Organism: Phrynosoma platyrhinos (Desert horned lizard)
Lineage: Eukaryota; Metazoa; Chordata; Lepidosauria; Squamata; Phrynosomatidae
Source: the annotation of a GenBank genome assembly
GCCAGCAUGGUGUAGUGGUUUGAAUGGUGGACUAUGACUCUAGAGACCAGGGUUCGAGUCCCCACUUGGUCA